UGGGUGCAUCAGCUCUUUAUAAUCUAUCAGCGCUUGUAUACAGAUUAUGUGUCUCCCAUUUGAUACGAUAUUCCAUUUCCUUGUAUUUUCUAUCAUUACAUCUUUGAUUAAUAGUUGCUGUUCACAAGGGAGCUAAUAAACCGCGAUAAAGAGUUGAACUCAUCCCCUUGUAUAAUUAUCGUACACCCUCACGAGUUGCGUUAUGGAAUAACUUUCACAGGUGACGCCUAUAUGUUCCAAUUCUCGUAACUUAAAGAGUCAUAUUUCGCCAUUCGUGAAUCUUGGACAUUUGUAAGUGCGGUCGGGGAAUAGGGCAUCGUGUCUGUUAUGGAAUAUACAUAACCCUUGUUGAUAAAUAUUCCGUAUAAACUUCACAAAUAAUACAUGAUGGUCCUGGUGUGAAGAUUCUAGGUGCUGACGUUGACUAUCUUCUUAAUUAUGUAUACUUGUUAUAGUGUUCUUUAUGUCUUUGUAAAUUAUCAACCUUUACUGUUAAAA
Molecule: long non-coding RNA, 498 nt
Filed under: Mytilus galloprovincialis (Mediterranean mussel)
Lineage: Eukaryota; Metazoa; Mollusca; Bivalvia; Mytilida; Mytilidae
Source: RNAcentral